UGGACCUAUAGUUUCAGCGGUGAAAAUACUCGCCUGUCACGCGAGAGUCACGGGUUCGAAUCCCGUUAGGUCCGCCAA
RNAcentral lists this transfer RNA (78 nucleotides) under Klebsiella phage vB_KaeM_KaAlpha. Its description in RNAcentral is "tRNA-Asp". It matches the Rfam family "tRNA". From Rfam's summary of the family: Transfer RNA (tRNA) molecules are approximately 80 nucleotides in length. Their secondary structure includes four short double-helical elements and three loops (D, anti-codon, and T loops). Lineage: Duplodnaviria; Heunggongvirae; Uroviricota; Caudoviricetes; Pantevenvirales; Straboviridae. The record is from RNAcentral.